GAUGAACGCUGGCGGCGUGCCUAACACAUGCAAGUCGAACGAAGCACCUUACCUGAUUCUUCGGAUGAAAGUUUGGUGACUGAGUGGCGGACGGGUGAGUAACGCGUGGGUAACCUGCCCUGUACAGGGGGAUAACAGCUGGAAACGGCUGCUAAUACCGCAUACGCGCACGAGGAGACAUCUCCUUGUGUGAAAAACUCCGGUGGUACAGGAUGGGCCCGCGUCUGAUUAGCUGGUUGGCAGGGUAACGGCCUACCAAGGCAACGAUCAGUAGCCGGUCUGAGAGGAUGAACGGCCACAUUGGAACUGAGACACGGUCCAAACUCCUACGGGAGGCAGCAGUGGGGAAUAUUGCACAAUGGGGGAAACCCUGAUGCAGCAACGCCGCGUGAGUGAAGAAGUAUUUCGGUAUGUAAAGCUCUAUCAGCAGGGAAGAUAAUGACGGUACCUGACUAAGAAGCGCCGGCUAAAUACGUG
This 477-nucleotide ribosomal RNA is filed under the name uncultured bacterium. RNAcentral's name for it is "partial 16S ribosomal RNA". It matches the Rfam family "Bacterial small subunit ribosomal RNA", at positions 28 to 507 of the family's 1533-position model. The record is from RNAcentral.